Molecule: transfer RNA, 68 nt
Filed under: Marmota monax (woodchuck)
Lineage: Eukaryota; Metazoa; Chordata; Mammalia; Rodentia; Sciuridae
Description: tRNA.Ala
Source: RNAcentral
GGACUGUGGUUUAGUGGAGGAGCACUCGUCUAGCACGCGCGGGGCCCUGGGUUCGAUCCUCAGCACCA